RNAcentral lists this unclassified non-coding RNA (352 nucleotides) under soil metagenome. Its description in RNAcentral is "partial contains 5.8S ribosomal RNA, internal transcribed spacer 2, and large subunit ribosomal RNA". The stretch from base 1 to 120 matches the Rfam family "5.8S ribosomal RNA", at positions 35 to 154 of the family's 154-position model. The record is from RNAcentral.
GAUGAAGAACGUAGCGAAAUGCGAUAAGUAAUGUGAAUUGCAGAAUUCAGUGAAUCAUCGAAUCUUUGAACGCACAUUGCGCCCGCCAGUAUUCUGGCGGGCAUGCCUGUUCGAGCGUCAUUACAACCCUCAGGCCCCCGGGCCUGGCGUUGGGGAUCGGCGGAGCCCCCCGUGGGCACACGCCGCCCCCCAAAUACAGUGGCGGUCCCGCCGCAGCUUCCAUCGCGUAGUAGCUAACACCUCGCGACUGGAGAGCGGCGCGGCCACGCCGUAAAACACCCAACUCUUCUGAAGUUGACCUCGAAUCAGGUAGGAAUACCCGCUGAACUUAAGCAUAUCAAUAAGCGGAGGA